GCGCCUGUAGCUCAGUCGGAUAGAGCAUGGGAUUUCUAAUCCCAGGGUCGCAGGUUCGAUCCCUGCCAGGCGCACCA
RNAcentral lists this transfer RNA (77 nucleotides) under Spartobacteria bacterium. RNAcentral describes it as "tRNA-Arg". It matches the Rfam family "tRNA". From Rfam's summary of the family: Transfer RNA (tRNA) molecules are approximately 80 nucleotides in length. Their secondary structure includes four short double-helical elements and three loops (D, anti-codon, and T loops). Further hydrogen bonds mediate the characteristic L-shaped molecular structure. tRNAs have two regions of fundamental functional importance: the anti-codon, which is responsible for specific mRNA codon recognition, and the 3' end, to which the tRNAs corresponding amino acid is attached (by aminoacyl-tRNA synthetases). tRNAs cope with the degeneracy of the genetic code in two manners: having more than one tRNA (with a specific anti-codon) for a particular amino acid; and 'wobble' base-pairing, i.e. permitting non-standard base-pairing at the 3rd anti-codon position. The record is from RNAcentral. Lineage: Bacteria; Pseudomonadati; Verrucomicrobiota; Spartobacteria.